ACACGUAGGGGCCUGACGUUGUUCGGAAUCAUUGGGCGUAAAGGGCGCGCAGGCGGCCGUCCAAGUCCGGUGUUAAAGCGUGGGGCUCAACCCCAUAAAGCCUUGGAAACUGAUUGACUAGAGUACGGGAGAAGUGAAGGGAACUCCAUGUGUAGCGGUGAAAUGCGUAGAUAUAUGGAAGAACACCAGUGGCGAAGGCGCUUCACUAGCCCGAAACUGACGCUCAGUCACGAAAGCGUGGGUAGCAAAUAGGAUUAGAUACCCUAGUAGUCCACGCUGUAAACGAUGACAACUAAAUAUUGCCGCGAGGCAGUGUUGAAGCUAACGCAUUAAGUUGUCCGCCUGGGGAGUACGGUCGCAAGACUGAAACUUAAAGGAAUUGACGGGG
Molecule: ribosomal RNA, 388 nt
Filed under: uncultured bacterium
Lineage: Bacteria
Description: partial 16S ribosomal RNA
Rfam family: Bacterial small subunit ribosomal RNA
Source: RNAcentral